RNAcentral lists this ribosomal RNA (433 nucleotides) under uncultured bacterium. RNAcentral describes it as "partial 16S ribosomal RNA". It matches the Rfam family "Bacterial small subunit ribosomal RNA", at positions 29 to 507 of the family's 1533-position model. The record is from RNAcentral.
AACGAACGCUGGCGGCAUGCCUAACACAUGCAAGUCGAACGAUACCUUCGGUUCUAGUGGCGCCCGGUUGCGUAACGCGUGGUAACCUGCCCUUAGGUUCGGCAUAACUCCCCGAUAGGGGUACUAAUCCCGGAUAAUGUCUUCGGACCAAGGCUUUCUCGCCUUUGGAUGGGCCCGCGUUGGGUUGGCUAGUUGUUAGGGUAAAAGCCUACCAAGGCGAGGAUCCAUAGCGGGUCUGAGAGGAGGAUCAGCCACACUGGGACUGAGACACGGCCCAGACUCCUAGGGGAGGCAGCAGUGGGGAAUAUUGGACAAUGGGCGAAAGGCUGAUCCAGCAAUGCCGCGUGAGUGAUGAAGGGCUUAGGGUUGUAAAGCUCUUUUACCCGGGAUGAUAAUGACAGUACCGGGAGAAUAAGCACCGGCUAACUCCGUG